CUCCUACGGGAGGCAGCAGUAGGGAAUCUUCCGCAAUGGACGAAAGUCUGACGGAGCAACGCCGCGUGAACGAUGAAGGCCUUCGGGUCGUAAAGUUCUGUUGUCAGGGAAGAACAAGUACCAGAGUAACUGCUGGUACCUUGACGGUACCUAACCAGAAAGCCACGGCUAACUACGUGCCAGCAGCCGCGGUAAUACGUAG
RNAcentral lists this ribosomal RNA (202 nucleotides) under uncultured bacterium. RNAcentral's name for it is "partial 16S ribosomal RNA". It matches the Rfam family "Bacterial small subunit ribosomal RNA", at positions 336 to 530 of the family's 1533-position model. The record is from RNAcentral.